AUUGAACGCUGGCGGAAUGCUUUACACAUGCAAGUCGAACGGUAGAGGGGGCAACCCCUCGAGAGUGGCGAACGGGUGAGUAAUAUAUCGGAACGUGCCCAGUCGUGGGGGAUAACGUAGCGAAAGUUACGCUAAUACCGCAUACGAUCUAAGGAUGAAAGCGGGGGAUCGCAAGACCUCGCGCGAUUGGAGCGGCCGAUAUCAGAUUAGGUAGUUGGUGGGGUAAAGGAUCACCAAGCCAACGAUCUGUAGCUGGUCUGAGAGGACGACCAGCCACACUGGAACAGAGACACGGUCCAGACGCCUACGGGAGGCAGAAGUGGGGAAUUUUGGACAAUGGACGCAAGUCUGAUCCAGCCAUUCCGCGUGCAGGAUGAAGGCCCUCGGGUUGUAAACUGCUUUUGUACGGAACGGAAAGGUCUCUCUUAAUACGGGGGGCUCAUGACGGUACCGUAAGAAUAAGCACCGGCUAACUACGUGCCAGCCGCCGCCGUAA
Molecule: ribosomal RNA, 496 nt
Filed under: uncultured bacterium
Lineage: Bacteria
Description: partial 16S ribosomal RNA
Rfam family: Bacterial small subunit ribosomal RNA
Source: RNAcentral